AAUAACUUUAUUUUUCGUUUUUCCAUGUCCAAUGUUUGACCAUUCAUCUUAUUUAAAAUUUUUUUACGAUUAAUAUUUUUAUUAUUACUAGAUGAUAAAAUAUAAAUAGUACUUUAUACAUGACUAAUUUUUGAAGCUUUUGUACAAAUUUUUCAAAUAAGACGAAUGGUCAAACUUAGACGAGGAAAAACA
Molecule: non-coding RNA, 192 nt
Organism: Oryza brachyantha (malo sina)
Lineage: Eukaryota; Viridiplantae; Streptophyta; Magnoliopsida; Poales; Poaceae
Source: Rfam